This 253-nucleotide ribosomal RNA is filed under the name uncultured bacterium. Its description in RNAcentral is "partial 16S ribosomal RNA". It matches the Rfam family "Bacterial small subunit ribosomal RNA", at positions 524 to 776 of the family's 1533-position model. The record is from RNAcentral.
GACGAACCGUGCGAACGUUGUUCGGAAUCACUGGGCUUAAAGGGCGCGUAGGCGGGGUGGCAAGUCUGUGGUGAAAUCCUCCGGCUCAACCGGAGAACUGCCGUGGAUACUGCCACUCUCGAGGGGUGUAGGGGCAUGUGGAACUCAGGGUGGAGCGGUGAAAUGCGUAGAUAUCCUGAGGAACGCCGGUGGCGAAAGCGACGUGCUGGACACCUACUGACGCUGAGGCGCGAAAGCGUGGGGAGCAAACAGG